UACGUAGGGGGCAAGCGUUGUCCGGAUUUAUUGGGCGUAAAGAGCGUGUAGGCGGCCAGAUAGGUCUGGUGUGAAAACUUGAGGCUCAACCUCAAGAGGUCACUGGAAACCAUUUGGCUAGAGUCCGGAAGAGGAGAGUGGAAUUCCUGGUGUAGCGGUGAAAUGCGCAGAUAUCAGGAAGAACACCUAUGGCGAAGGCAGCUCUCUGGGACGGUACUGACGCUGAGACGCGAAAGCGUGGGGAGCAAACAGG
This 253-nucleotide ribosomal RNA is filed under the name uncultured bacterium. Its description in RNAcentral is "partial 16S ribosomal RNA". It matches the Rfam family "Bacterial small subunit ribosomal RNA", at positions 524 to 776 of the family's 1533-position model. The record is from RNAcentral.